This 496-nucleotide ribosomal RNA is filed under the name uncultured bacterium. Its description in RNAcentral is "partial 16S ribosomal RNA". It matches the Rfam family "Bacterial small subunit ribosomal RNA", at positions 29 to 507 of the family's 1533-position model. The record is from RNAcentral.
AUGAACGCUGGCGGCGUGCCUAAUACAUGCAAGUCGAGCGAACGGACGAGAAGCUUGCUUCUCUGAUGUUAGCGGCGGACGGGUGAGUAACACGUGGAUAACCUACCUAUAAGACUGGGAUAACUUCGGGAAACCGGAGCUAAUACCGGAUAAUAUUUUGAACCGCAUGGUUCAAAAGUGAAAGACGGUCUUGCUGUCACUUAUAGAUGGAUCCGCGCUGCAUUAGCUAGUUGGUAAGGUAACGGCUUACCAAGGCAACGAUGCAUAGCCGACCUGAGAGGGUGAUCGGGCACACUGGAACUGAGACACGGUCCAGACUCCUACGGGAGGCAGCAGUAGGGAAUCUUCCGCAAUGGGCGAAAGCCUGACGGAGCAACGCCGCGUGAGUGAUGAAGGUCUUCGGAUCGUAAAACUCUGUUAUUAGGGAAGAACAUAUGUGUAAGUAACUGUGCACAUCCUGACGGUACCUAAUCAGAAAGCCACGGCUAACUACGUG